RNAcentral lists this ribosomal RNA (253 nucleotides) under uncultured bacterium. RNAcentral's name for it is "partial 16S ribosomal RNA". It matches the Rfam family "Bacterial small subunit ribosomal RNA", at positions 524 to 776 of the family's 1533-position model. The record is from RNAcentral.
UACAGGGGGGGCAAGCGUUGUUCGGAAUUACUGGGCGUAAAGGGCUCGUAGGCGGCCAACUAAGUCCGACGUGAAAUCCCCAGGCUUAACCUGGGAACUGCGUCGGAUACUGGUUGGCUUGAAUCCGGGAGAGGAAUGCGGAAUUCCAGGUGUAGCGGUGAAAUGCGUAGAUAUCUGGAGGAACACCGGUGGCGAAGGCGGCAUUCUGGACCGAUAUUGACGCUGAGGAGCGAAAGCCAGGGGAGCAAACGGG